GCCAGUGAUAAACUGGAGGAAGGUGGGGAUGACGUCAAGUCAUCAUGGCCCUUACGACCAGGGCUACACACGUGCUACAAUGGCGCAUACAAAGAGAAGCGACCUCGCGAGAGCAAGCGGACCUCAUAAAGUGCGUCGUAGUCCGGAUUGGAGUCUGCAACUCGACUCCAUGAAGUCGGAAUCGCUAGUAAUCGUGGAUCAGAAUGCCACGGUGAAUACGUUCCCGGGCCUUGUACACACCGCCCGUCACACCAUGGGAGUGGGUUGCAAAAGAAGUAGGUAGCUUAACCUUCGGGAGGGCGCUUACCACUUUGUGAUUCAUGACUGGGGUGAAGUCGUAACAAGGUAACCGUAGGGGAACCUGCGGUUGGAUCACCUCCUUACCUUAAAGAAGC
This 395-nucleotide ribosomal RNA is filed under the name Escherichia coli. RNAcentral describes it as "bacterial SSU rRNA". It matches the Rfam family "Bacterial small subunit ribosomal RNA", at positions 1151 to 1533 of the family's 1533-position model. The record is from RNAcentral. RNAcentral also lists the same sequence under 2 other names. Lineage: Bacteria; Pseudomonadati; Pseudomonadota; Gammaproteobacteria; Enterobacterales; Enterobacteriaceae.